Molecule: ribosomal RNA, 439 nt
Filed under: Biomphalaria straminea
Lineage: Eukaryota; Metazoa; Mollusca; Gastropoda; Planorbidae
Description: partial 16S ribosomal RNA
Rfam family: Bacterial large subunit ribosomal RNA
Source: RNAcentral
UCCCCUGUUUUACAAAAACAUAGUUUAAGGAAAUAAUCUUAAAUGAAUUCUGCCCAGUGAUUUUUUUUUAAAUGGCCGCAGUACCUUGACUGUGCUAAGGUAGCAUAAUCAAUUGGCUUCUAAUUAAAGUCUGGAAUGAAAGGAAAUAUGAAGUAAUUCUAUCUUAAAGGAUUUUUUUUGAAUUUAUUUAAAUGAUGAAAAUAUCAUUUUAUAGAAAAAAGACGAGAAGACCCUUAGAGUUUUGAUAUUUAUAUAUUUUUGUUGGGGCGACAGGUAAACAUAUAACUUUACGAAUUAUCAUUGAUCGAUUUUUUAUAAGAAUAAUAAAACUACCUUAGGGAUAACAGCAUUAUAUUUUUUUUUAUGAUUGUGACCUCGAUGUUGGACUAGGAACUUUAUGGCUAGCCGUCAAAAAAGAUUGCUCGUCGCUCAUUUUCCU